UACCGGCAGCACGAGUGAUGGCCGAUCUUAUUGGGCCUAAAGCGUCCGUAGCCGGCCAGACGGGUCCGUCGGGAAAUCUGCACGCCCAACGUGCAGGCGUCCGGCGGAAACCAGCUGGCUCGGGGCCGGAAGACCCAGGGGGUACGUCUGGGGUAGGAGUGAAAUCCCGUAAUCCUGGACGGACCGCCGGUGGCGAAAGCGCCCUGGGAGGACGGACCCGACGGUGAGGGACGAAAGCUAGGGUCACGAACCGG
This 254-nucleotide ribosomal RNA is filed under the name uncultured bacterium. RNAcentral describes it as "partial 16S ribosomal RNA". It matches the Rfam family "Archaeal small subunit ribosomal RNA", at positions 474 to 727 of the family's 1478-position model. The record is from RNAcentral.